Molecule: ribosomal RNA, 756 nt
Filed under: uncultured bacterium
Lineage: Bacteria
Description: bacterial SSU rRNA
Rfam family: Bacterial small subunit ribosomal RNA
Source: RNAcentral
AGAGUUUGAUCAUGGCUCAGAACGAACGUUGGCGGCAUGGAUUAGGCAUGCAAGUCGAGGGAAUCUCCCGCAAGGGAGGGAACCGGCGUAAGGGGCAGUAAGGCAUGGGUACCUACCCCGGGGUUCGGGAUAGCCACCAGAGAUGGUGGGUAAUACCGGAUGACCUCGUGAGAGCAAAGAUUUAUCGCCCUGGGAGGGGCCCAUGUGAUAUUAGCUAGUUGGUGAGGUAACGGCUCACCAAGGCGAAGAUGUCUAGCGGGUGUGAGAGCACGACCCGCGCCACUCGCACUGAGACACUGGCGAGACACCUACGGGUGGCUGCAGUCGAGGAUCUUCGGCAAUGGGCGAAAGCCUGACCGAGCGAUGCCGCGUGCGCGAUGAAGGCCUUCGGGUUGUAAAGCGCGAAAGCGGGGAGAAAAGCCCGCAAGGGUGUGAUCUAUCCACAGUAAGCUCGGGCUAAGUUCGUGCCAGCAGCCGCGGUAAGACGAACCGAGCGAACGUUGUUCGGAAUCACUGGGCUUAAAGGGCGCGUAGGCGGGCUGUCAAGUUUGGGGUGAAAUCCCGCGGCUCAACCGUGGAACUGCCUCAAAUACUGACGGUCUCGAGGGAGGUAGGGGCGAGCGGAACUGAUGGUGGAGCGGUGAAAUGCGUUGAUAUCAUCAGGAACUCCGGUGGCGAAGGCGGCUCGCUGGACCUCUUCUGACGCUGAGGCGCGAAAGCUAGGGGAGCAAACGGGAUUAGAUACCCUAGUAGUCC